This 465-nucleotide ribosomal RNA is filed under the name uncultured bacterium. Its description in RNAcentral is "partial 16S ribosomal RNA". It matches the Rfam family "Bacterial small subunit ribosomal RNA", at positions 338 to 795 of the family's 1533-position model. The record is from RNAcentral.
CCUACGGGGGGCAGCAGUGGGGAAUAUUGCGCAAUGGGCGAAAGCCUGACGCAGCGACGCCGCGUGAGGGAUGAAGGUCUUCGGAUCGUAAACCUCUGUCAGCAGGGAAGAACGGUCACUGUGCUAAUCAGCAGUGAAUUGACGGUACCUGCAAAGGCAGCACCGGCUAACUCCGUGCCAGCAGCCGCGGUAAUACGGAGGGUGCGAGCGUUAAUCGGAAUUACUGGGCGUAAAGCGCUCGUAGGCGGUAUGUCAAGUCAAGGGUGAAAUCCCCGCGCUCAACGGGGGAACUGCCUUUGAAACUGGCAAACUGGAGUGUGUGAGAGGAUAGUGGAAUUCCAGGUGUAGGAGUGAAAUCCGUAGAUAUCUGGAGGAACAUCAGUGGCGAAGGCGACUAUCUGGAACAUAACUGACGCUGAGGAGCGAAAGCGUGGGUAGCAAACAGGAUUAGAUACCCUAGUAGUC